Molecule: ribosomal RNA, 468 nt
Filed under: uncultured bacterium
Lineage: Bacteria
Description: partial 16S ribosomal RNA
Rfam family: Bacterial small subunit ribosomal RNA
Source: RNAcentral
GACGAACGCUGGCGGCGUGCUUAACACAUGCAAGUCGAACGGAAAGGCCCUGCUUUUGUGGGGUGCUCGAGUGGCGAACGGGUGAGUAACACGUGAGUAACCUGCCCUUGACUUUGGGAUAACUUCAGGAAACUGGGGCUAAUACCGGAUAGGAGCUCCUGCUGCAUGGUGGGGGUUGGAAAGUUUCGGCGGUUGGGGAUGGACUCGCGGCUUAUCAGCUUGUUGGUGGGGUAGUGGCUUACCAAGGCUUUGACGGGUAGCCGGCCUGAGAGGGUGACCGGUCACAAUUGGACUGGGAUGCGGCCCAGACGGAGACGGGGGGCAGCAGUGGGGAAUAUUGUAAUAUGGGCGGAGGCCUGAUGGAGCAACGCCGCGUGCGGGAUGACGGCCCUAGGUGUGGAAACCGCUGUCGCCUGUGACAAAGCGUGAGGGACGGUAAUGGGUAAAGAAGCACCGGCUAACUACGUG